UAGGAAAGAUAGAGACACUCUGUUACACA
This 29-nucleotide non-coding RNA is filed under the name Rattus norvegicus (Norway rat). Lineage: Eukaryota; Metazoa; Chordata; Mammalia; Rodentia; Muridae. The record is from RNAcentral.